RNAcentral lists this long non-coding RNA (207 nucleotides) under Musa acuminata (dwarf banana). RNAcentral describes it as "long non-coding RNA (MACU_LNC005685)". The record is from RNAcentral. Lineage: Eukaryota; Viridiplantae; Streptophyta; Magnoliopsida; Zingiberales; Musaceae.
AACAAUGCACAGUUUGUUCAGCAGAUCGGAGUAGUCCAAGGGGAUGGUGGUCUCCGAAACGAAGAGAGAUGUUGCUCCAACGGGAUAGUUAUCCAGGAGGGAUAAGUCCCGGCUCUCUAGAGGGAGAAUCAUGUGGGACGAACCUCACAUGUUGAGGAGGAGUACCUCAACAAACAACAACUCCACGAAGCUCGAUGGACUGAGCAA